CUUUUUUCCUUCCUUCCUCCAUUAAUUCCUUCCUUUCUUCAUUCUUUCCUCCUGGUGUCCCCUUCCUGCAUCUUUUAUUUCCUUUCUUCCUCCAUCCUUCCUUCCUUCUUUCCUCCUGGUGUCCCCUUCAAGCAUCCUUUCUCUUUCUUUCUUUCUUUCUUUCCUUCCUUCCCCUCUUGCUUGUUCUUUUCUUGUGUUCCUCCUUGUGUUCCCUUCCUGCAUCCUUUCUUUCUUGUUUUUCACAUUCCUUCAUUUCUCUCUUUGUUUUUUGUUUUUUUUUGUUUGUUUUUGUUUUGUUUUUCCUUCCUUCUUCCUCCUGGCGUCCCCUUCCUGCAUCCUUUCUUUCUUUAUUUAUUUCCUUCUUUCCUCCUGGUGUCCCCUUCAGGCAUCCUUUCUUUAUUUCUUUCCUUCUUGUUUUGUCUCAUUCCUUCCUCCCUUUCUUCGUUUUUUUUCCUUCCUUCCUUCUUUCCUCCUGGUGUCCCCUUCAUGCAUCCUUUCUCUUUCUUUCUUUCUUUCUUUCUUUCUUUCCUUCCUCUCUUUCUGGUUCUUUUCUUCCUCCUUUCCUCCUCAUGUUCCCUUCCUGCAUCCUUUAUUUCUUGUUUUUCACAUCCUUUCUUUUUCAUGUUUUUUUUCACCCCUUCCUUCCACCUGUUGUCCCCUUCCUGCAUCCUUUCUUUAUUUUUCUUUCUUUCAUCCUCUCUCUCUAUCCCUUUCUUUCUUUCUUUCUUUUUCUUUUCCCCCUUUUCAGGCUGGUCACGUUUGACUGAAAGCAAUUUCGUGGAGCUGGCCUAAUGCUAACAUCACACUCUCUGCCUUAUUGUAGUAGACAAAAGGGCCAGCAGAUCCUCUUCGAAACUCUGAACAUCACAGCAGGGACAGAGUGGAAAUGGAAAUGUUGACCUGUGCUCUUGUAGUUACUUUAAUGGCUUGUGGAAGAGGAAACUGGCUAAGCCAAAAUGAGCUGCUGCAGCACAACAAAUCCUGGUUAAUUGUCCUUCAUCAAGUGGCAGAUGACCAUAUGUAAACUACACAGACUCAGGAUACUGCUUGCAGGUGUGUGUGUCCAGAAUGCAGCAGGGCAGCUGUGUUUAGAUAUUCUUCAAGCACAAAAGGUGCAAAGAUGACGGAGUACAAUUCCAUGUUGUGUUUAAUAUCCAUAUACAUUAAGUGAAUUGUAGCAUGUCUGGUGUGAGCUCACCUGUACUGAGCUCACACCAGAUGCCUGUAGAGCUUGCUGUAU
Molecule: long non-coding RNA, 1240 nt
Organism: Myxocyprinus asiaticus (Chinese sucker)
Lineage: Eukaryota; Metazoa; Chordata; Actinopteri; Cypriniformes; Catostomidae
Exons: 3
Source: RefSeq, a predicted model, not a curated record